Molecule: ribosomal RNA, 1486 nt
Filed under: uncultured Bordetella sp.
Lineage: Bacteria; Pseudomonadati; Pseudomonadota; Betaproteobacteria; Burkholderiales; Alcaligenaceae
Description: partial 16S-23S ribosomal RNA intergenic spacer
Rfam family: Bacterial small subunit ribosomal RNA
Source: RNAcentral
GACCGAUCCUGGCUCAGAUUAGACGCUGGCGGGAUGCUUUACACAUGCAAGUCGAACGGCAGCACGGACUUCGGUCUGGUGGCGAGUGGCGAACGGGUGAGUAAUGUAUCGGAACGUGCCUAGUAGCGGGGGAUAACUACGCGAAAGCGUAGCUAAUACCGCAUACGCCCUUCGGGGAAAAGCGGGGGGGGACCUUCGGGCCUCUCCCGCACUAUUAAGAACGGCCGAUAUCGGAUUGGCUAGUUGGUGGGGUAACGGCUCACCAAGGCGACGAUCCGUAGCUGGUUUUGAGAGGACGACCAGCCACACUGGGACACGGCCCAGACUCCUACGGGAGGCAGCAGUGGGGAAUUUUGGACAAUGGGGAAACCUGAUCCAGCCAUCCCGCGUGUGCGAUGAAGGCCUUCGGGUUGUAAAGCACUUUUGGCAGGAAAGAAACGGCACGGGAUAAUACCCCGUGCAACUGACUGACACCUGCAGAAUAAGCACCGGCCUAACUACGUGCCAGCAGCCGCGGUAAUACGUAGGGUGCAAGCGUUAAUCGGAAUUACUGGGCGUAAAGCGUGCGCAGGCGGUUCGGAAGAAGAUGUGAAAUCCCAGAGCUUGGCACUGCCGGAACUGCAUUUUUAACUACCGAGCUGAGUGUCAGGAGGAGGUGGAAUUCCGCGUGUAGCAGUGAAAUGCGUAGAUAUGCGGAGGAACACCGAUAGCGAGGCAGCCUCCUGGGAUAACACUGACGCUCAUGCACGAAGCGUGGGGAGCAAGCAGGAUUAGAUACCCUGGUAGUCCACGCCCUAAACGACGUCAACUAGCUGUUGGGGCCUUCGGGCCUUGGUAGCGCAGCUAACGCGUGAAGUUGACCGCCUGGGGAGUACGGUCGCAAGAUUAAAACUCAAAGGAAUUGACGGGGACCCGCACAAGCGGUGGAUGAUGUGGAUUAAUUCGAUGCAACGCGAAAAACCUUACCUACCCUUGACAUGUCUGGAAUCCCGAAGAGAUUUGGGAGUGCUCGCAAGAGAACCGGAACACAGGUGCUGCAUGGCUGUCGUCAGCUCGUGUCGUGAGAUGUUGGGUUAAGUCCCGCAACGAGCGCAACCCUUGUCAUUAGUUGCUGAAAAGGGAGCACUCUAAUGAGACUGCCGGUGACAAACCGGAGGAAGGUGGGGAUGACGUCAAGUCCUCAUGGCCCUUAUGGGUAGGGCUUCACACGUCAUACAAUGGUCGGGACAGAGGGGUCGCCAACCCGCGAGGGCCAAUCCCAGAAACUGAUCGUAGUCCGGAUCGCAGUCUGCAGCUCGACUGCGUGAAGUCGGAAUCGCUAGUAAUCGCGGAUCAACAUGUCGCGGUGAAUACGUUCCCGGGUCUUGCAUACACACCGCCCGUCACACCAUAGGAGUGGGUUUUACCAGAAGUAGUUAGCCUAACCGUAAGGAGGGCGAUUACCACGGUAAGGAUUCAUGACUGGGGUGAAGUCGUAACAAGGUAA